GUUUGACUUUCAAGUGGGAGAACAAUGUGGGAGACACAUCUCAGGGCGUCAGGCUACACGGUGUCGGCGGCGGGACGGGCUGUGAAGCAGGAUGUCCACAUUGACCCUCACAAAGCCGGGGAGAUCGAUUGGAGGUCAGAGGAAGAAGAAUUAAAAGAAGAAAGUGGAGAUUUAAAAGAAGAAGAAGAAGAAGAAGAAGAAGAAGAAGAAGAAGAAGGAUGAAAAGAAGAACAAUUCAAAGAAGAAGAUGAAGAAGAUGAAGAAUUAAAAUAAGAAGCUGAAGAAUUAAAGAAGAAGGAGAAGAAGAAGAAGAAGAAGAAGAAGAAGAAGAAGAAGAAGAAGAAGAAGAAGAAGAAGAAGAAGAAGAAGAAGAAGAAGAAGACAAAUUACAGUAAUAAGAAGAAGAAGAACUAGAAAAUGCAUUUCAUGCAGAAAAUGCGGUGAGUGCUGUAAGCCACAUAGAUUAAGACAUAAAGAAACAUUAAAAGGCUUAAAACAAGUGAAGAGAUUUGAACCGAGUUCAAAAGUCUAAAUCGAGUAAACAAUAUAAACAUGCACACCAUUUAUAAAAAAUGUCAAUGGUUAGGAACAAAUUAAUUGAGAGCUGAAUGAAAAGCACAAAGCAUUGCUAAAAAUGCAGAAAUGUAAAAGUAAUUGAACUGAAGCAUCUGAAAGGUCAAAUGUAUUGCCCUGCACUGCUGAAAAAUCUGAAAGGUAAAAUGCUGAAGUAGAAGUAAUAGUAGCAGUAGCUGAAGUAGAAGUAGUAGCAGCAGUAGUCGCUGAAGUAGUAGUAGCUGAAUUAAUAGUGGUACUAAUAGUUGGGCUGCACAAAGGAUAUGCCUUAUGAAAGGUUUGGGAUUGAUUGAUGUUUGCAGAAAGAAUUAUAGUAAUCCCACCCGUUUAUUUUUUUUAAACCAGACGAAAUUGUAUGCACUCACCUAAUCAGCCUAACUUUAUUAGAAGUAGUCAAAUUGGGGGGGGAACUGCCCAAUCUGGCAACGCUACCUGAACGUCGUAAAAAUUUGUCAAAUUGUGCGAGAAAAACUGCCCAAUCUAGAAACACUGUCUUUACGUCCUCGCUCUCUAACCUCAGCGUAAAUCAACAAGACCAACUGAAAACAAGCCGACAUGGAACUUAACUGUGAUUUUGAAAAAAGUAUAAAGGUAAUCGAAAUUCUGUUUCCAGAUUUUUAUUAAGUGUGUUGAUUUGUUAAACCUUUGAACGAAGGUUACCGAUAAAAUAUUGACCAAAUUAAAAAGUUUGAAGUAGUAAGUGUCUUUGUGAAUUUUUUGGACGGCUCUGUCGUCCUCCAAUUGACUUCCAUUGUAACAUUUUUUUUUUUAAAGUAGAAUAUCUUAAAAAGUAUAAAAUAUUUUAAAAAUCUGAAAAGAAGCGCGCGAUUCCAAGCUAAUCUGAACAUUGGAAAAUUGGAAUGAAGUCUCUAGGUGAAAAGUUGAGGAAGGAGCUAGGUCCCAAAGUUUGUAGAGAAUAAUAAAGAAAGAAGGAAUAAAACCUUAGGAAGAACAAUAGUUGAGCGCUGCAUGCAGCACUCACCUAAUUAAAAGAAGAAGAAGAAGAAGAAGAAGAAGAAGAAGAAGAAGAAGAAGAAGAAGAAGAAGAAGAAGAAGAAGAAGUAGAAGAAGAAGAAGAAGAAGAAGAGGAGGAAAAAGAAGAAGAAGAAGAAGAAGAAGAAGAAGAAGAAGAAGAAGAAGAAGAAGAAGAAGAAGAAGAAGAAGGAGAAGAAGGAGAAGAAUAAGGAGAAGUAGAAGAACACCGUUGCGACACGAGAUGGCACCGAGGCUCUCUCUUCCAGCAUUCCUU
Molecule: long non-coding RNA, 1822 nt
Filed under: Gadus morhua (Atlantic cod)
Lineage: Eukaryota; Metazoa; Chordata; Actinopteri; Gadiformes; Gadidae
Description: lncRNA (ENSGMOG00000035461.1)
Source: RNAcentral